AAUAAUUUGACAGAACAAUUGUACUAAACUUAGAAUUUAAACAUGCUAUUAUUACAA
This 57-nucleotide transfer RNA is filed under the name Stalita hadzii. RNAcentral's name for it is "tRNA-Leu". The record is from RNAcentral. Lineage: Eukaryota; Metazoa; Arthropoda; Arachnida; Araneae; Dysderidae.